GGGUUGUGAGGUUAAGCGACUAAGCGUACACGGUGGAUGCCCUGGCAGUCAGAGGCGAUGAAGGACGUGCUAAUCUGCGAUAAGCGUCGGUAAGGUGAUAUGAACCGUUAUAACCGGCGAUUUCCGAAUGGGGAAACCCAGUGUGAUUCGUCACACUAUCAUUAACUGAAUCCAUAGGUUAAUGAGGCGAACCGGGGGAACUGAAACAUCUAAGUACCCCGAGGAAAAGAAAUCAACCGAGAUUCCCCCAGUAGCGGCGAGCGAACGGGGAGCAGCCCAGAGCCUGAAUCAGUGUGUGUGUUAGUGGAAGCGUCUGGAAAGGCGCGCGAUACAGGGUGACAGCCCCGUACACAAAAAUGCACAUAUUGUGAGCUCGAUGAGUAGGGCGGGACACGUGGUAUCCUGUCUGAAUAUGGGGGGCCCAUCCUCCAAGGCUAAAUACUCCUGACUGACCGAUAGUGAACCAGUACCGUGAGGGAAAGGCGAAAAGAACCCCGGCGAGGGGAGUGAAAAAGAACCUGAAACCGUGUACGUACAAGCAGUGGGAGCACGCUUAGGCGUGUGACUGCGUACCUUUUGUAUAAUGGGUCAGCGACUUAUAUUCUGUAGCAAGGUUAACCGAAUAGGGGAGCCGAAGGGAAACCGAGUCUUAACUGGGCGUUAAGUUGCAGGGUAUAGACCCGAAACCCGGUGAUCUAGCCAUGGGCAGGUUGAAGGUUGGGUAACACUAACUGGAGGACCGAACCGACUAAUGUUGAAAAAUUAGCGGAUGACUUGUGGCUGGGGGUGAAAGGCCAAUCAAACCGGGAGAUAGCUGGUUCUCCCCGAAAGCUAUUUAGGUAGCGCCUCGUGAAUUCAUCUCCGGGGGUAGAGCACUGUUUCGGCAAGGGGGUCAUCCCGACUUACCAACCCGAUGCAAACUGCGAAUACCGGAGAAUGUUAUCACGGGAGACACACGGCGGGUGCUAACGUCCGUCGUGAAGAGGGAAACAACCCAGACCGCCAGCUAAGGUCCCAAAGUCAUGGUUAAGUGGGAAACGAUGUGGGAAGGCCCAGACAGCCAGGAUGUUGGCUUAGAAGCAGCCAUCAUUUAAAGAAAGCGUAAUAGCUCACUGGUCGAGUCGGCCUGCGCGGAAGAUGUAACGGGGCUAAACCAUGCACCGAAGCUGCGGCAGCGACGCUUAUGCGUUGUUGGGUAGGGGAGCGUUCUGUAAGCCUGCGAAGGUGUGCUGUGAGGCAUGCUGGAGGUAUCAGAAGUGCGAAUGCUGACAUAAGUAACGAUAAAGCGGGUGAAAAGCCCGCUCGCCGGAAGACCAAGGGUUCCUGUCCAACGUUAAUCGGGGCAGGGUGAGUCGACCCCUAAGGCGAGGCCGAAAGGCGUAGUCGAUGGGAAACAGGUUAAUAUUCCUGUACUUGGUGUUAC
RNAcentral lists this ribosomal RNA (1423 nucleotides) under Shigella sonnei. RNAcentral's name for it is "partial 23S ribosomal RNA". It matches the Rfam family "Bacterial large subunit ribosomal RNA", at positions 1 to 1454 of the family's 2925-position model. Lineage: Bacteria; Pseudomonadati; Pseudomonadota; Gammaproteobacteria; Enterobacterales; Enterobacteriaceae. The record is from RNAcentral.